This is a long non-coding RNA of Ictalurus punctatus (channel catfish), 2133 nucleotides long. RefSeq lists it as uncharacterized. NCBI's taxonomy places the organism in Eukaryota, Metazoa, Chordata, Actinopteri, Siluriformes, Ictaluridae. The transcript is spliced from 2 exons. The record is from RefSeq and is a predicted model, not a curated record.
UCCUAUUUUCAGUCCACAGAAACGAUACCUUCCAGUUGCACACUCCUCCACCCCCUCCGUUAGAAGCUGAAGUGGUACGUCCCACCUCCUCUCUGUCCUCAGAUCCCUGCUGCAUCCUCCAUCAUUGCACUUCCCUUCAUUCCCAGUUUCUCCUUGAGGACGAUUUUGCGGCCUGUCUCAGUGUCACUUAAAGGCCAGCUCUGAGUCUUCUAUCUACUCUGUCGGCACAAGGUCAUCACAAGGUCACAGAGGAGGAAAGGAAGGACAGAAGAAGGACAUCUAAAAACACCCGAGAGACGAAAAAAAUAAAAAUACCCCCAACGCAUUGACCAUCCAUAUGGAGUCAAAGGCUAAGAGCGGCGUGAAACCAGGUACCAAGACUGAGAAGAAAGAAUCGGCACCUCCUACAAAACCGAAUCCCACUCCUGCCGAGCCUGCGCCGCCUGCCGAAGCGGAAAAACCAGUGCAAGAUGGCAACCAAGAGGGAGUGCAGGAAGAGAACGGGGCAGCCGGAGGCAGAUGUGAGACCCUGGAGAACCUAAAGCCAUUCCUCAUUGGUGGAGCUAUUGUAGCACUUGGAGCUGUAUUGGUGGGCUUGGUCUUAUUAGCCAAAAAGAAGUGACAGCCUGGUGUGGUUGGCCAACAGGUUCAUAGGUGAUUGGGUCACAGUGUAACAGUGGGGGGAGGGGGUGGUAUUUAAAUAUCCUUGGGGGAGGGGAGCCACCAUGCUUACUUGCCAUUCAGCUUUGUUUUCAUCACAGUGUAGUGUAGUAGAAAUAGUAGCAAGCUCACUCAGGCCAUGUUCAGAUGUGAAUGCAACCCUCACACAAUCCAGUCAUCUGUAGUUGUAUCCCCACAGACCGAUGAUGUGCCGACAGAAACGCAUGCUCGGCCGCAGUUAAAUUAGUUAAAAGGCAACUAACUUAGCGACUCACGUUACCUAGUUUAAAACGGCAGUGCAUUUUGUUUCGUUUCGUUUUCAUUAAAAUGAGAUUUUUAUUAUUAUAAUAAUCUGUUGCAUCAGAUUUCAUGCCAGUUGUGAAACCUUCCAGGAGUCGCUUGCAGGAGCACAUUCUCACCAGGGAGGGCGUAAGAGGGCCCAAAUCCCAGAGUCCCGAAAAGUUACAUACUAUUACUUUAACCAAGAUUUUAACGGAGAGCAUGAUCAAAACAAGGUUCGAUAAAAUAGCAAUCCUGCAAUGUUCUGUAAAUAUGAAAACUGCGUGUGUGUGUGUGUGAGUGGUUGUGUGUGUGACUAGAGAUAUAAGAUAGAUGCAUUGAUGGAUUACUGCAAACUGAAUAAUUAUACAGUAAUACAGUAUGUUCAAAUGUAUGUCUCUGUAUUCAUGCAAUUAUUAUUAUUAUUAUUAUUAUUAUUAUUAUUAUUAUUAUACACAUUUCUGUAAUACAUGUAAGAGCAUAUUAGGAAAUGAUUGAUCUUUCAGUUCUUAGUUUCAUGUGAAAUUUCAAUGUCUAGCCUUUUCUUUUUUUGGUUGUUUUUCCUUCUCACUGACUGGAUUUCAUCAUUAUUUGAUGCUGGUUACAUUUUCAUGGAUGUGAUGUGUCCUGUCUUUUUUGCUUGAUGACUGAAACCCAUCCGUUUCCUGGUGACCGUAAGGCGUUACAAAAAAGAAAAAAGAAAAGAAAACACACUAAUGGAAACACAUUAGACAGUUUAAUGGCAUGAUGGAGAUGCAGGCAACCUUUUUUAUGCCGAGUAAGACGACUGGACUGAAACGGUCAUCAUUACAAACUACCUUUGUCUGGACAUGUAACCAGUUAUUAAGGACAAAGAUGAUUUUCCGUUCCCUCAAGUGCGUAUGUAAUGCAAUAAAUACAAAUAGCACUCUGUAGAUCAUAACUGAUAGAAUUGUAAAGUAUGACAAAAUGACAAGGAUUAUUGUUUGUAAUGCUGAAUGAACAUGCUGAGACGUUGGAGACUCGUGAGUGGACGGUGGAUAGUAUUAAAGAAUUGUAUAAAAGAUGAAACAGAUAAUAUAUAUAUAUAUAUACUUGUUGAGAAAUCUUAAGUUCUGACAGACAUAUUUUCCCUGGUUGUUCUGCGCUCUCCUGCUCCUCAACCCUCCCCUCUCCCUCUGGUGCUUAUGUACAAUAAAAACAAAAUGGCUGCAA